GAUGAACGCUGGCGGCGUGCCUAAUACAUGCAAGUCGAGCGAACGGACGAGAAGCUUGCUUCUCUGAUGUUAGCGGCGGACGGGUGAGUAACACGUGGAUAACCUACCUAUAAGACUGGGAUAACUUCGGGAAACCGGAGCUAAUACCGGAUAAUAUUUUGAACCGCAUGGUUCAAAAGUGAAAGACGGUCUUGCUGUCACUUAUAGAUGGAUCCGCGCUGCAUUAGCUAGUUGGUAAGGUAACGGCUUACCAAGGCAACGAUGCAUAGCCGACCUGAGAGGGUGAUCGGCCACACUGGAACUGAGACACGGUCCAGACUCCUACGGGAGGCAGCAGUAGGGAAUCUUCCGCAAUGGGCGAAAGCCUGACGGAGCAACGCCGCGUGAGUGAUGAAGGUCUUCGGAUCGUAAAACUCUGUUAUUAGGGAAGAACAUAUGUGUAAGUAACUGUGCACAUCUUGACGGUACCUAAUCAGAAAGCCACGGCUGACUACGUGCCAGCAGCCGCGGUAAUACGUAGGUGGCAAGCGUUAUCCGGAAUUAUUGGGCGUAAAGCGCGCGUAGGCGGUUUUUUAAGUCUGAUGUGAAAGCCCACGGCUCAACCGUGGAGGGUCAUUGGAAACUGGAAAACUUGAGUGCAGAAGAGGAAAGUGGAAUUCCAUGUGUAGCGGUGAAAUGCGCAGAGAUAUGGAGGAACACCAGUGGCGAAGGCGACUUUCUGGUCUGUAACUGACGCUGAUGUGCGAAAGCGUGGGGAUCAAACAGGAUUAGAUACCCUGGUAGUCCACGCCGUAAACGAUGAGUGCUAAGUGUUAGGGGGUUUCCGCCCCUUAGUGCUGCAGCUAACGCAUUAAGCACUCCGCCUGGGGAGUACGACCGCAAGGUUGAAACUCAAAGGAAUUGACGGGGGCCCGCACAAGCGGUGGAGCAUGUGGUUUAAUUCGAAGCAACGCGAAGAACCUUACCAAAUCUUGACAUCCUUUGACAACUCUAGAGAUAGAGCCUUCCCCUUCGGGGGACAAAGUGACAGGUGGUGCAUGGUUGUCGUCAGCUCGUGUCGUGAGAUGUUGGGUUAAGUCCCGCAACGAGCGCAACCCUUAAGCUUAGUUGCCAUCAUUAAGUUGGGCACUCUAAGUUGACUGCCGGUGACAAACCGGAGGAAGGUGGGGAUGACGUCAAAUCAUCAUGCCCCUUAUGAUUUGGGCUACACACGUGCUACAAUGGACAAUACAAAGGGCAGCGAAACCGCGAGGUCAAGCAAAUCCCAUAAAGUUGUUCUCAGUUCGGAUUGUAGUCUGCAACUCGACUACAUGAAGCUGGAAUCGCUAGUAAUCGUAGAUCAGCAUGCUACGGUGAAUACGUUCCCGGGUCU
RNAcentral lists this ribosomal RNA (1372 nucleotides) under uncultured bacterium. Its description in RNAcentral is "bacterial SSU rRNA". It matches the Rfam family "Bacterial small subunit ribosomal RNA", at positions 28 to 1381 of the family's 1533-position model. The record is from RNAcentral.